AGCAACCGGGUUUCCUACCCGACUGCAUGAUUGUUGCUGACAUGUGUAGCGUAGGUGGGAGGCUUUGAAGUCCCGGCGUCAGCUGGGAUGGAGCCAUCAGUGAAAUACCACCCUUGUUUUGUCGAGAGUUCUAACCCCGUCCCUUGAAUCAGGGCGCGGGACAGUGGCAGGUGGGCAGUUUGACUGGGGCGGUCGCCUCCCAAAAUGUAACGGAGGCGCCCAAAGGUUCCCUCAGCCCGGUCGGUAAUCGGGCAUUGAGUGUAAGGGCACAAGGGAGCCUGACUGUGAGGCCGACAGGCCGAACAGAGCGGAAACGCGGGCCUAGUGAUCCGGUGGUUCUGCGUGGAAAGGCCAUCGCUCAGCGGAUAAAAGGUACUCUAGGGAAAACAGGCUGAA
This 396-nucleotide ribosomal RNA is filed under the name uncultured organism. RNAcentral describes it as "bacterial LSU rRNA". It matches the Rfam family "Bacterial large subunit ribosomal RNA", at positions 2090 to 2486 of the family's 2925-position model. The record is from RNAcentral.